Molecule: ribosomal RNA, 425 nt
Filed under: uncultured Acidobacterium sp.
Lineage: Bacteria; Pseudomonadati; Acidobacteriota; Terriglobia; Terriglobales; Acidobacteriaceae
Description: bacterial SSU rRNA
Rfam family: Bacterial small subunit ribosomal RNA
Source: RNAcentral
ACGCGAAGAACCUUACCCAGGCUUGAACAGCCAGUGACCACUUCCGAAAGGGAGCUUCCGCAAGGACACUGGUAGAGGUGCUGCAUGGCUGUCGUCAGCUCGUGUCGUGAGAUGUUGGGUUAAGUCCCGCAACGAGCGCAACCCUUGUCUGCUGUUGCCAUCAGGUUAUGCUGGGCACUCUGCAGAGACUGCCGGUGAUAAACCGGAGGAAGGUGGGGAUGACGUCAAGUCAGCAUGGCCUUUAUGUCUGGGGCUACACACGUGCUACAAUGGCCGAUACAAACCGUCGCGAGCCCGCAAGGGGGAGCUAAUCGGAGAAAGUCGGUCUCAGUUCGGAUUGUCGGCUGCAACUCGCCGGCAUGAAGUUGGAAUCGCUAGUAAUCGCGGAUCAGCACGCCGCGGUGAAUACGUUCCCGGGCCUUGUA